This 275-nucleotide unclassified non-coding RNA is filed under the name uncultured fungus. RNAcentral's name for it is "sequence contains ITS1". The stretch from base 1 to 97 matches the Rfam family "5.8S ribosomal RNA", at positions 50 to 154 of the family's 154-position model. The record is from RNAcentral. Lineage: Eukaryota; Fungi.
AAACUGCGAUAAGCAAUGCGAAACGCAGUUGUUCGUGAGUCAUCCGGUAUUCGAACGCACAUGGCAGGUCUUCGGACCUACGUCUGGUUGAGGGUCUUUAUUACUCCAUUUCAAUGGGAUGUGAGUGGGCAAUUGGCUCACUUUAAAGGAAGGGUAACUUGUACCGUAACCGUUUGGUGGACAAUCGAGCGGGAACUGGUUGCGAGCGAUGUUUGGCAAGCAAGCAUCAAAUCCUUUUUGACCUCAACUCAGACGAGACUACCCGCUGAACUUAA